AUUGAACGCUGGCGGUAUGCUUAACACAUGCAAGUCGAACGGUAACAGGCUCUAGCUUGCUAGAGUGCUGACGAGUGGCGGACGGGUGAGUAACGCGUAGGGAUCUGUCUAAUAGCUUGGGACAACACGGGGAAACUCGUGCUAAUACCAAAUACACUCUAAGGAGGAAAGGUGGGGGUUAAACCCUGUCGCUAAUAGGGGAACCUGCGUUGGAUUAGCUAGUUGGUGGGGUAAUGGCCUACCAAGGCGACGAUCCAUAGCUGUUAUGAGAGGAAGAUCAGCCACACUGGGACUGAGACACGGCCCAGACUCCUACGGGAGGCAGCAGUGGGGAAUAUUGGACAAUGGGCGCAAGCCUGAUCCAGCAAUACCGCGUGUGUGAAGAAGGCCUGAGGGUUGUAAAGCACUUUCGGCAAGGAGGAAGUAUAUGGAGUUAAUAGCUUUAUAUAUUGACGUUACUUGCAGAAGAAGCACCGGCUAACUCUGUGCCAGCCGCCGCGUAA
RNAcentral lists this ribosomal RNA (503 nucleotides) under uncultured bacterium. RNAcentral's name for it is "partial 16S ribosomal RNA". It matches the Rfam family "Bacterial small subunit ribosomal RNA", at positions 30 to 522 of the family's 1533-position model. The record is from RNAcentral.